This 492-nucleotide ribosomal RNA is filed under the name uncultured bacterium. Its description in RNAcentral is "partial 16S ribosomal RNA". It matches the Rfam family "Bacterial small subunit ribosomal RNA", at positions 29 to 507 of the family's 1533-position model. The record is from RNAcentral.
AGUGAACGCUGGCGGUAGGCCUAACACAUGCAAGUCGAACGGCAGCACAGUAAGAGCUUGCUCUUACGGGUGGCGAGUGGCGGACGGGUGAGGAAUACAUCGGAAUCUACUUUUUCGUGGGGGAUAACGUAGGGAAACUUACGCUAAUACCGCAUACGACCUACGGGUGAAAGCAGGGGAUCUUCGGACCUUACGCGAUUGAAUGAGCCGAUGUCGGAUUAGCUAGUUGGCGGGGUAAAGGCCCACCAAGGCGACGAUCCGUAGCUGGUCUGAGAGGAUGAUCAGCCACACUGGAACUGAGACACGGUCCAGACUCCUACGGGAGGCAGCAGUGGGGAAUAUUGGACAAUGGGCGCAAGCCUGAUCCAGCCAUACCGCGUGGGUGAAGAAGGCCUUCGGGUUGUAAAGCCCUUUUGCUGGGAAAGAAAAGCAGCAGGUUAAUACCCCGCUGUUCUGACGGUACCCAAAGAAUAAGCACCGGCUAACUUCGUG